UUUUGCGUUUUUUUUUUUUUUAAUUUCUAUUUUUAUUUUGAAUAUGUUUCUUCUUUUGACAAAAAUUAUAGUGGAGUUUGAACUUAGUGAAUUAGGAUUUCCUUAUAUAGCAAGGAGCUGUUUUGUGAAAUUUAUAUAUAGAAGCUUUUGUGGAAUUUUGCCUAGUAACCCGAAGAAAAAUUUGAAGGGAAAGGGCUUUUGGCAUUUACACAAUUUAAGGCUGAAUAGUAGUUUGUAAAUAGUGAUUUGUUAAUGAAUAUUGGGAAGCUCUUGCAUGUUAUGAGGAUUGUUGCACUCAUUUCAUAUAGGUUUUUGUGGCAAAUUGAGGGUCAAUGAGUGCAUUAGAAAGUGAUUUGAAGAAAUUUGGUGCUCCUUGAGCAUGGAGGAAAGUUAAAGAAAUCAAGCAUUGAAAGAACAAGUUAACCGAAAUUUACUUGAGACUUUACUUAUGAUGUUGCUUAAGAUCCUGUUAGAGAUCCUGCUUAAGGUAAGCAGCAGUACUUAAGGUGCAGUACAGGUCAAGU
This 524-nucleotide unclassified non-coding RNA is filed under the name Hevea brasiliensis (rubber tree). The record is from RNAcentral. Lineage: Eukaryota; Viridiplantae; Streptophyta; Magnoliopsida; Malpighiales; Euphorbiaceae.